RNAcentral lists this ribosomal RNA (262 nucleotides) under uncultured archaeon. Its description in RNAcentral is "partial 16S ribosomal RNA". It matches the Rfam family "Archaeal small subunit ribosomal RNA", at positions 748 to 1009 of the family's 1478-position model. The record is from RNAcentral.
CAGCCGUAAACUAUGCUCGCUAGGUGUCAGGCAUGGCGCGACCGUGUCUGGUGCCGCAGGGAAGCCGUGAAGCGAGCCACCUGGGAAGUACGGCCGCAAGGCUGAAACUUAAAGGAAUUGGCGGGGGGAGCACAACAACGGGUGGAGCCUGCGGUUUAAUUGGACUCAACGCCGGACAACUCACCGGGGACGACAGCAAUAUGUAGGCCAGGCUGAAGACCUUGCCUGAAUCGCUGAGAGGAGGUGCAUGGCGUAGACGUCU